This 580-nucleotide ribosomal RNA is filed under the name uncultured bacterium. RNAcentral's name for it is "bacterial SSU rRNA". It matches the Rfam family "Bacterial small subunit ribosomal RNA", at positions 337 to 917 of the family's 1533-position model. The record is from RNAcentral.
UCCUACGGGAGGCAGCAGUGAGGAAUAUUGGUCAAUGGAGGAAACUCUGAACCAGCCAUGCCGCGUGAAGGAUGACGGCCCUAUGGGUUGUAAACUUCUUUUGAAUAGGAAGAAACUUAUCUACGUGUAGAUAACUGACGGUACUAUUAGAAUAAGGAUCGGCUAACUCCGUGCCAGCAGCCGCGGUAAUACGGAGGAUCCAAGCGUUAUCCGGAUUCAUUGGGUUUAAAGGGUCCGUAGGCGGGUCUUUAAGUCAGUGGUGAAAGCCGACAGCUCAACUGUCGAACUGCCAUUGAUACUGGAGACCUUGAGUACAAAUGAAGUAGGCGGAAUGAGUCAUGUAGCGGUGAAAUGCAUAGAUAUGACUCAGAACACCGAUUGCGAAGGCAGCUUACUAACAUGUAACUGACGCUGAGGGACGAAAGCGUGGGGAGCGAACAGGAUUAGAUACCCUGGUAGUCCACGCCGUAAACGAUCAUCACUCGCUGUUGGCGAUAUACUGUCAGCGGCCAAGCGAAAGUAUUAAGUGAUGCACCUGGGGAGUACGCCGGCAACGGUGAAACUCAAAUGAAUUGACGGA